UGACGCUGGCGGCAUGCUCACACAUUAAGUCGAACGGUAACAGGCCGCUGGGAUCCCUUCGGGGUGACCUUGUGCGCUGACGAGUGGCGGACGGGUGAGUAACGCGUAGGAAUCUGCCUGGCAGCGGGGGACAACUCCGGGAAACCGGAGCUAAUACCGCAUACGCCCUACGGGGGAAAGACGGGGAUCUUCGGACCUGUCACUGCCAGAUGAGCCUGCGUCGGAUUAGCUUGUUGGUGGGGUAACGGCCUACCAAGGCGACGAUCUGUAGCUGGUCUGAGAGGAUGACCAGUCACACUGGGACUGAGACACGGCCCAGACUCCUACGGGAGGCAGCAGUGGGGAAUAUUGGACAAUGGGCGCAAGCCUGAUCCAGCAAUGCCGCGUGUGUGAAGAAGGCCUUCGGGUUGUAAAGCACUUUCAAUCGGGAAGAACAGCAUUCGGAUAAUAACCCGGAUGUCUUGACGGUAACGA
Molecule: ribosomal RNA, 474 nt
Filed under: uncultured bacterium
Lineage: Bacteria
Description: bacterial SSU rRNA
Rfam family: Bacterial small subunit ribosomal RNA
Source: RNAcentral